GAGCGAAAGCGUGGGGAGCUAACAGGAUUAGAUACCCUGGUAGUCCACGCCGUAAACGAUGGGCGCUAGUUGUGCGAACCUUCCACGGUUUGUGCGACGCAGCUAACGCAUUAAGCGCCCCGCCUGGGGAGUACGAUCGCAAGAUUAAAACUCAAAGGAAUUGACGGGGCCCCGCACAAGCAGCGGAGCAUGCGGCUUAAUUCGACGCAACGCGAAGAACCUUACCAAGGCUUGACAUAUACAGGAAUACGGCAGAGAUGUCGUAGCGGUAAAACGUCUGUAUACAGGUGGUGCAUGGUUGUCGUCAGCUCGUGUC
Molecule: ribosomal RNA, 316 nt
Filed under: uncultured bacterium
Lineage: Bacteria
Description: bacterial SSU rRNA
Rfam family: Bacterial small subunit ribosomal RNA
Source: RNAcentral